RNAcentral lists this ribosomal RNA (119 nucleotides) under Microtus ochrogaster (prairie vole). Lineage: Eukaryota; Metazoa; Chordata; Mammalia; Rodentia; Cricetidae. The record is from RNAcentral.
GUCUGUGGUCAUCCCACCCUGAACGUGACUACUCUUGUCUGAUCUCAGAAACUAAUCAGAGUUGGGUCUUAUGAGGCCUUGGGUGGAAGACACAGCGAAAGGGUCAGGAGAAACAGGGA